AAAAAAGGUAAGCUACUAAGAGCGAAUGGUGGAUGCCUUGACUGGUAAAGGCGAUGAAGGACGUACUAGACUGCGAUAAGCUACGGGGAGCUGUCAAGAAGCUUUGAUCCGUAGAUUUCCGAAUGGGGCAACCCAAUGUAUAGAGAUAUACAUUACCUAUAUAGGAGCGAACGAGGGGAAUUGAAACAUCUUAGUACCCUCAGGAAAAGAAAUCAAUAGAGAUUGCGUCAGUAGCGGCGAGCGAAAGCGCAAGAGGGCAAACCCAGUGCUUGCACUGGGGGUUGUAGGACUGCAAUGUGCAAGAGGUAAGUUUAGCAGAACAUUCUGGAAAGUAUAACCAUAGAGGGUGAUAGUCCCGUAUGCGAAAAACAAACCUUAGCUAGCAGUAUCCUGAGUAGGGCGGGACACGAGGAAUCCUGUCUGAAUCCGGGUCGACCACGAUCCAACCCUAAAUACUAAUACCAGAUCGAUAGUGCACAAGUACCGUGAGGGAAAGGUGAAAAGAACUGAGGUGAUCAGAGUGAAAUAGAACCUGAAACCAUUUGCUUACAAUCAUUCAGAGCCCUAUGUAGCAAUACAGGGUGAUGGACUGCCUUUUGCAUAAUGAGCCUGCGAGUUGUGGUGUCUGGCAAGGUUAAGCAAACGCGAAGCCGUAGCGAAAGCGAGUCUGAAUAGGGCGCUUAGUCAGAUGCUGCAGACCCGAAACGAAGUGAUCUAUCCAUGAGCAAGUUGAAGCUAGUGUAAGAACUAGUGGAGGACUGAACCCAUAGGCGUUGAAAAGCCCCGGGAUGACUUGUGGAUAGGGGUGAAAGGCCAAUCAAACUUCGUGAUAGCUGGUUCUCUCCGAAAUAUAUUUAGGUAUAGCGUUGUGUCGUAAUAUAAGGGGGUAGAGCACUGAAUGGGCUAGGGCAUACACCAAUGUACCAAACCCUAUCAAACUCCGAAUACCUUAUAUGUAAUCACAGCAGUCAGGCGGCGAGUGAUAAAAUCCGUCGUCAAGAGGGAAACAACCCAGACUACCAGCUAAGGUCCCUAAAUCUUACUUAAGUGGAAAACGAUGUGAAGUUACUUAAACAACCAGGAGGUUGGCUUAGAAGCAGCCAUCCUUUAAAGAAAGCGUAAUAGCUCACUGGUCUAGUGAUUUUGCGCGGAAAAUAUAACGGGGCUAAAGUAAGUACCGAAGCUGUAGACUUGCACACAACUUAGAUUAUUUAAGUUUAGAAUAUGAGAAACUAAGUUAUAUGUUUAGUUAUAUUUUUACUGAUUUUUAUAGAGUAAAGAUAGAAAUAAAACUUAGUAAAAUCAGUAAAAAUAUUCUUAGACUAAAGUUAAGUAGUUUAAGUUGUGUGCAAGUGGUAGGAGAGCGUUCUAUUUGCGUCGAAGGUAUACCGGUAAGGAGUGCUGGAGCGAAUAGAAGUGAGCAUGCAGGCAUGAGUAGCGAUAAUUAAUGUGAGAAUCAUUAACGCCGUAAACCCAAGGUUUCCUACGCGAUGCUCGUCAUCGUAGGGUUAGUCGGGUCCUAAGUCGAGUCCGAAAGGGGUAGACGAUGGCAAAUUGGUUAAUAUUCCAAUACCAACAUUAGUGUGCGAUGGAAGGACGCUUAGGGCUAAGGGGGCUAGCGGAUGGAAGUGCUAGUCUAAGGUCGUAGGAGGUUAUACAGGCAAAUCCGUAUAACAAUACUCCGAGAACUGAAAGGCUUUUUGAAGUCUUCGGAUGGAUAGAAGAACCCCUGAUGCCGUCGAGCCAAGAAAAGUUUCUAAGUUUAGCUAAUGUUGCCCGUACCGUAAACCGACACAGGUGGGUGGGAUGAGUAUUCUAAGGCGCGUGGAAGAACUCUCUUUAAGGAACUCUGCAAAAUAGCACCGUAUCUUCGGUAUAAGGUGUGGUUAGCUUUGUAUUAGGAUUUACUCCGAAAGCAAGGAAACUUACAACAAAGAGUCCCUCCCGACUGUUUACCAAAAACACAGCACUCUGCUAACUCGUAAGAGGAUGUAUAGGGUGUGACGCCUGCCCGGUGCUCGAAGGUUAAUUGAUGGGGUUAGCAUUAGCGAAGCUCUUGAUCGAAGCCCGAGUAAACGGCGGCCGUAACUAUAACGGUCCUAAGGUAGCGAAAUUCCUUGUCGGUUAAAUACCGACCUGCAUGAAUGGCGUAACGAGAUGGGAGCUGUCUCAAAGAGGGAUCCAGUGAAAUUGUAGUGGAGGUGAAAAUUCCUCCUACCCGCGGCAAGACGGAAAGACCCCGUGGACCUUUACUACAGCUUGACACUGCUACUUGGAUAAGAAUGUGCAGGAUAGGUGGGAGGCUUUGAGUAUAUGACGCCAGUUGUAUAUGAGCCAUUGUUGAGAUACCACUCUUUCUUAUUUGGGUAGCUAACCAGCUUGAGUUAUCCUCAAGUGGGACAAUGUCUGGUGGGUAGUUUGACUGGGGCGGUCGCCUCCCAAAUAAUAACGGAGGCUUACAA
This 2462-nucleotide ribosomal RNA is filed under the name Campylobacter jejuni. Its description in RNAcentral is "partial 23S ribosomal RNA". It matches the Rfam family "Bacterial large subunit ribosomal RNA", at positions 1 to 2313 of the family's 2925-position model. Lineage: Bacteria; Pseudomonadati; Campylobacterota; Epsilonproteobacteria; Campylobacterales; Campylobacteraceae. The record is from RNAcentral.